AGAGCGAACGCUGGCGGCAGGCCUAACACAUGCAAGUCGAGCGCCCGUAGCAAUACGGGAGCGGCAGACGGGAUAGUAACACGUGGGAACGCGCCCUUCGGUUCGGAAUAACUCAGGGAAACUUGAGCUAAUACCGAAUACGCCCUUACGGGGAAAGAUUUAUUGCCGAAGGAACGGCCCGCGUCCGAUUAGCUAGUUGGUGAGGUAAUGGCUCACCAAGGCUACGAUCGGUAGCUGGUCUGAGAGGAUGACCAGCAUCACUGGGACUGAGACACGGCCCAGACUCCUACGGGAGGCAGCAGUGGGGAAUAUUGGACAAUGGGCGAAAGCCUGAUCCAGCCAUGCCGCGUGGAUGAUGAAGGCCUUAGGGUUGUAAAGUCCUUUUAACGGGGAAGAUAAUGACGGUACCCGUAGAAUAAGCCCCGGCUAACUUCGCGCCAGCAGCCGC
This 448-nucleotide ribosomal RNA is filed under the name uncultured bacterium. RNAcentral's name for it is "SSU rRNA". It matches the Rfam family "Bacterial small subunit ribosomal RNA", at positions 26 to 518 of the family's 1533-position model. The record is from RNAcentral.